UACGUAGGGUGCGAGCGUUGUCCGGAAUUAUUGGGCGUAAAGAGCUUGUAGGCGGUUUGUCGCGUCUGCCGUGAAAUUUCGGGGCUCAACCCCGAACUUGCGGUGGGUACGGGCAGACUAGAGUGUGGUAGGGGAGACUGGAAUUCCUGGUGUAGCGGUGAAAUGCGCAGAUAUCAGGAGGAACACCGAUGGCGAAGGCAGGUCUCUGGGCCACUACUGACGCUGAGAAGCGAAAGCAUGGGGAGCAAACAGG
RNAcentral lists this ribosomal RNA (253 nucleotides) under uncultured bacterium. RNAcentral's name for it is "partial 16S ribosomal RNA". It matches the Rfam family "Bacterial small subunit ribosomal RNA", at positions 524 to 776 of the family's 1533-position model. The record is from RNAcentral.